AUGAAGAAGAUCUUGUUCAGCAUGUUCUAUUCGAUACUGGUAGGAGAAGAACCCGACUCGGUAUUCUUAAAAAAAGAGGGGAAGCAGAACCAAGUCAAGAUGAUAUGGGUCGCCCCUUCUUCUUGUGCCAAAGAUCUUACCAUUUCCGAAGGAACUGGGGCUACAUUUCUUUUCAAUUUCCAUUCAAGAGUUUCUAUAUGUUUCCACGCCCUUUUCUUGAGACCUCGAAACAUGAGGAGACAUUACUUCUCUCUAAAGUCAACGAUUUCUGCAAUCAGGGAGGAGGCAUGGCCUUACUUGCUAUACCUUAAACCUCAUCAAGAAAGUAAGCCCAGCGAAACCGCAAUCCCAAUCAAAAAAUAUUUGCAGCAGCUAAUGAGCUGA
Molecule: ribosomal RNA, 384 nt
Filed under: Triticum aestivum (bread wheat)
Lineage: Eukaryota; Viridiplantae; Streptophyta; Magnoliopsida; Poales; Poaceae
Description: partial small subunit ribosomal RNA
Source: RNAcentral